CUAGACCCGUGGCGAACAGCUCAGUAACACGUGGCCAAACUGCCCUGUGGACGGGGAUAAUCUCGGGAAACUGAGGCUAAUCCCCGAUAGGGCUUCCAUCCUGGAGUGGAGGAAGUCCAAAAGUUGCGCUGCGGCACCACAGGAUGUGGCUGCGGCCGAUUAGGUAGACGGUGGGGUAACGGCCCACCGUGCCAGUAAUCGGUACGGGUGAUGAGAGUCAGAGCCCGGAGACGGUAUCUGAGACAAGAUACCGGGCCCUACGGGGCGCAGCAGGCGCGAAACCUUUACACUGCACGACAGUGCGAUAGGGGGAUUCCGAGUGCGAGGGCAUACAGUCCUCGCUUUUCUGGACCGUAAGGAGGUCCAAGAAUAAGGGCUGGGCAAGACCGGUGCCAGCCGCCGCGGUAAUACCGGCAGCCCGAGUGAUGGCCGAUAUUAUUGGGCCUAAAGCGUCCGUAGCUGGCCAGACAAGUCCGUUGGGAAAUCCACGCGCUCAACGCGUGGGCGUCCAGCGGAAACUGCCUGGCUUGGGGCCGGAGGACUCGAGGGGUACGUCCGGGGUAGGAGUGAAAUCCCGUAAUCCUGGACGGACCACCGGUGGCGAAAGCGCCUCGAGAAGACGGCUUCGACAGUGAGGGACGAAAGCUCGGGUCUCAAACCGGAUUAGAUACCCGGGUAGUCCGAGCUGUAAACGAUGCUCGUUAGGUGUGGCACCCACUACGAGUGGGUGCUGCGCCGUAGGGAAGCCGCUAAACGAGCCGCCUGGGAAGUACGUCCGCAAGGAUGAAACUUAAAGGAAUU
Molecule: ribosomal RNA, 801 nt
Filed under: uncultured archaeon
Lineage: Archaea
Description: bacterial SSU rRNA
Rfam family: Archaeal small subunit ribosomal RNA
Source: RNAcentral